RNAcentral lists this ribosomal RNA (252 nucleotides) under uncultured bacterium. Its description in RNAcentral is "partial 16S ribosomal RNA". It matches the Rfam family "Bacterial small subunit ribosomal RNA", at positions 524 to 776 of the family's 1533-position model. The record is from RNAcentral.
UACGUAGGGUGCAAGCGUUGUCCGGAAUUAUUGGGCGUAAAGAGCUCGUAGGCGGUUUGUCGCGUCGGCUGUGAAAACUGGGGCUCAACUCUGGGCGUGCGGUCGAUACGGGCAUCACUUGAGUUCGGCAGGGGAGACUGGAAUUCCUGGUGUAGCGGUGAAAUGCGCAGAUAGUCAGGAGGAACACCGGUGGCGAAGGCGGGUCUCUGGGCAGCAUAGCGCUGAGGAGCGAAAGCGUGGGGAGCAAACAGG